GAGCCACUUCCGCCCUCACUGGUUGCCGUGGUAACAGGCCUCCGGUGGAGGGCGGGGACCCUCGGAAGCCAGCUGGGUGACGAUCGCUUGUCUGCCUUGGCAGGCCCCUUGUGCAGUCUUUUCCCGGCGUGAGCGUGCAGGGAUUGAAAAGGAAUGCUUUUUGGUUCAGCAGAGAGCCACCACGCAGGAUGCACUGGGACCUGAGAACCGUCGGGCAGUCCCACGAGCUCUUUCAUGACCAGCUCCAACCGACAAGUACACGCCCCUUCUCGCACUCCACUAGCUAGUAAGCUGAGCUACAAGGUGUGCCAGGCACCCAGGACGCCGAUUCACCGCUUCAGACUGAAUUUUUCCACCACCUGGAUGAACAUAGCAGAAAGAACAUAGUGUUUUAGAGUCAGACACAAUAGGAAUCAGGCACUUUGGAAUCUUGGCUCUGCCACCUUUGAGCUAUCCCAAGAGCCCUCUUUCUUCCAUUCACUUACUUGUCUAGUCAAACACCCAUCAGACCUUUGCCAGGUGUCCAGCCUGGGCACUACGUUUCAGAAAAUGAUGCACAUAGAAUCCCUAACUGAAAGGAGAUCGCAGCUCAUUUGGUACAAAGUGUUCUGGAGUCCAGAAGUCCAAAAUCAAAGGCUGUGCUCUCUUAGAAGGCUCGAGGAGAGAAUCCUUCAAUGCCCCUUCCAGAUUCUGGUGGCUCCAGGUAACGGCAGAGUCCCAAAACACAUGAAGCAAGAACUGACAGAACUGGAGGGAGACAUCAAUCAAUAACAACAGUUGGAGAAUUCAAUACCCUGCUCUGAAUAAUGGAUAGAACAAUUAGGCAGAAGACCAACAAAGAAAGUGGAUAUUUGAACAACGUGAUAAGCCAAUUUGACCUAAUAAAUAUCUUUAUCUGUGAAACACCCUAGCUUUUAGCCUGGGUAAGGAGCUGGAGAGAUGUGAAAAUGUGGAAAGCAAGCCUAAAUCGCAGUGUGGCCUAUGCCUGAGAGCCAUCUUCAGUGCCCCCUUGUGGCUGUAUCUGGGAACCACAGACAGAAUCAUGGAACUGACCAUCUUCAGUCUCAAAGGGCUGCCCUCACCACUACACCCAAGGGCAGGUGGUCUUCGGGGGAAAGGCGGUUCCAGUUCCUUCUCCCAAGCCAGUGAGGAAGUCAAUCCUGCAAACAACUGCAGGAACGGCCUUGGGAGUGGAUCCUUCCUCAGCCCGGCUCCAAGACAACUGCAGCCCUGUGAGAAACCCUGAGUGGAGGACCAAGCCAAGCCUCAAAUCGUGACUUGGAACUGGGAGACAACAGAUGCUGUUGGAAGCCAUUGAGCUCUGAAGUAGUUUGUUACACAGUGACAGGUAACUUACACACCAUGGCAGGGUCAUGUGGGCCAAAGGUGCAAGGGGCUAGAAGGCUCAGAGGGCAGCCAGCUGGGGACCCAGUCUUCCCCAGGUGUCAGCAGCAGAUGCAGAUGCAGCCCCAGCAAUAACUCAUAGAGGAUUCUCACUUUCAUUUAUUUUCAAGGCAUAUACAAAAGUCUGACAUGGUGCAAUGAUCUCAUCAAGAGAUAACAGAACACACAGGAGAGGGUUGGGUUUCCUCCCCGGCCCAACCCCCUCAGGAAGGCACAGAAAAGUGAGGCUUGGGUUCGGGGGCCACCUGCUUUGGAACUAAUCUGCUGCUCAGAAGGCCAGGCCCCUUCUGAAGAGGGACCUCUUCCUCACAUCCAGAAUCUAGGAUCUGGGGAAAGUAAACUGAGGCCACCAGUAAGCAUGUGCUCCAGGCCAAGGCUGAGUCUGUGCUGCAUCCAUGUCAUCAGCCACCCAAGAAAAACCAGUUACUCCACCUAGCUCAUGGUGGCGGCAUCCUCCCUGCAAUGGUGCAUGGGGGGCAGUCCUUUCCCCUGCAGGGUGUCAUUGCCACCCCCAUCCUCAUCCUGGAGGCCAGUCCAGGCUCCGAUAUGAGUGACUAGGGGUGAGGUGGGGGUGGCAGAAGGGAGAUCAAACUGGAGCAUUCCAGAUGCCUACUACUGCCCUCACACAACGGGGCAACUGUGCUCUCCAACUCCUCCCCUUGGCAGAGAAACUGGUCCUGCAGUUUCAGGACUAGACGAGCGUGGGGUAGUGGCAAUAGAGGGGCUUGUAUGAGAAGUGGCUUUCGCCUCUCAUCCCUAGGGGCAAAAAGUGAAUCAUCUAACUGGUCCAAGUCACUAAUGGCAAUCCUUCUUCCCCAAGAAGACUGAGUUUCCUUUGUCACUUAAGGAAGGGAAGAAGAGAGGUUAGCUGAGCUACCCAGAUUAGGCCCAGAUUUAGCCACCACCUAGAACAGGGCAAGCUGGAAGUGAAAGAACUUGAAAUACUGACUUUUUCCUUCUUAAAAAAGACCUAACAUUGUAAUGGUUUAGC
Molecule: long non-coding RNA, 2395 nt
Organism: Pan troglodytes (chimpanzee)
Lineage: Eukaryota; Metazoa; Chordata; Mammalia; Primates; Hominidae
Exons: 6
Source: RefSeq, a predicted model, not a curated record